GCUUCUUUUCUAUCUUUCCUACACCAAGUAAAUUGUCUAGUAUUUUUAUUUUUAUUUCUCCAAAUAUCAAUUAGUUUACAUGAUUUUAUAAGCCCUUUUAAACUUGUUACAGGUUUAUCAAAUUUUUUGGAAGAUUUAGUUUUAUUUUUUGUAUCUAGCAGUGACCAAAUGUCAUUAAAAUCACCUCCUAGAAUGACUUGCCCGAGUCCGUAUUUAUUAAUAAACACUUUUAUUGUUUUAAAAAAACUAUUUCUUUCUCUCAAUCUGUUCGGAGCAUAGAUAUUAACUAAUGUGUAAAUAUUUUCAUCUAUUUCAAUAUUAAUCAUAAUGACUCUCCCUUCUAAGUCUUUAUGUUCAUCUAUGUAUUUGAAUUUGGUUUUAUCUUUUAUCCAUAUCGCUACCCCACGUGAAUUGCUUGUCCCGUCGCUUCUAAAAAGAUUUUCACCAAAUUCUUUUUCUAAUGUGAACUUCAUUUUAUUUGUAAAAUGGGUUUCCUGUAUGAAUAGAAUAUCAUUUUUUUGUUGAUUUGACCAGCUUACAAUUUUACUUAUUUUUUCAGGUUGUUGCAGGCCAUUGGCAUUGACCGUGCUUAUAUGUAGAUUAUUCUUCAUUUUGGAUUAAAAAAAAAAAAUUUGAUUAAGCAUUUUAUCUGGUAAGUACCAUUUUCUAAUCAUAGUUUUAAAAAUAUUUUCCAUAUAUAAUAUACAGCUGUUGCUAUACAUUUGUAUAUCAUUUUUAUACCUUGCUUUUUUA
RNAcentral lists this long non-coding RNA (753 nucleotides) under Mytilus galloprovincialis (Mediterranean mussel). Lineage: Eukaryota; Metazoa; Mollusca; Bivalvia; Mytilida; Mytilidae. The record is from RNAcentral.